GACGAACGCUGGCGGCGUGCUUAACACAUGCAAGUCGAACGGAAAGGCCCUGCUUUUGUGUGGUGCUCGAGUGGCGAACGGGUGAGUAACACGUGAGUAUCCAGCCCUUGACUUUGUGAUAACUUCAGGAAACUGGGGCUAAUACCGGAUAGGAGCUCCUGCUGCAUGGUGGGGGUUGGAAAGUUUCGGCGGUUGGGGAUAUACUCGCGGCUUAUCAGCUUGUUGGUCGAGUAGUUGCUUACCAAGGCUUUGACGGGUAGCCGGCAUGGGAGGGUGGACAGCCACAUGAGGACUGAGAUACGGCGCAGUCGGCAACGGGAGGCAACGGUGGGAAGUCUUACACAGUGAGCGGGAGCGUGAGACAGAGAUGUCGCGUGCGGGAAGACGGCCUUCGGGUUGUGAACCGCUGUCGCCUGAGACGAAGCGUGAGUGACGGUAAUGGGUAAAGAAGCACCGGCUAACUACGUG
Molecule: ribosomal RNA, 468 nt
Filed under: uncultured bacterium
Lineage: Bacteria
Description: partial 16S ribosomal RNA
Rfam family: Bacterial small subunit ribosomal RNA
Source: RNAcentral